RNAcentral lists this ribosomal RNA (503 nucleotides) under uncultured bacterium. RNAcentral describes it as "partial 16S ribosomal RNA". It matches the Rfam family "Bacterial small subunit ribosomal RNA", at positions 30 to 523 of the family's 1533-position model. The record is from RNAcentral.
AUUGAACGCUGGCGGCAGGCUUAACACAUGCAAGUCGAGCGGGGUGAUGGUGCUUGCACUAUCACUUAGCGGCGGACGGGUGAGUAAUGCUUAGGAAUCUGCCUAUUAGUGGGGGACAACAUCUCGAAAGGGAUGCUAAUACCGCAUACGUCCUACGGGAGAAAGCAGGGGAUCACUUGUGACCUUGCGCUAAUAGAUGAGCCUAAAUCGGAUUAGCUAGUUGGUGGGGUAAAGGCCUACCAAGGCGACGAUCUGUAGCGGGUCUGAGAGGAUGAUCCGGCAAACUGGGUCUGAGACACGGCCCAGACUCCUCCGGGAGGCAGCAGUGGUGAAUAUUGGACAAUGUGGGGUACCCUGAUCCAGCCAUGCCGCGUGUGUGAAGAAGGCCUUAUGGUUGUAAAGCACUUUAAGCGAAGAGGAGGCUCUUUUGGUUAAUACCCAAGAUGAGUGGACGUUACUCGCAGAAUAAGCACCGGCUAACUCUGUGCCAGCCGCCGCGGUAA